Molecule: unclassified non-coding RNA, 4236 nt
Filed under: Mizuhopecten yessoensis (Yesso scallop)
Lineage: Eukaryota; Metazoa; Mollusca; Bivalvia; Pectinida; Pectinidae
Description: mitogen-activated protein kinase 7-like, transcript variant X1
Source: RNAcentral
AUCUUCAUCGAAUGAGUCUAAACUAAAAAUAGUAACGCAAGGAAAACUCGAAGACAGCUGAUAUAUGAUGAAGCUAGAAACAGGAAAUACCAAGAUCUAGUUGAUUGGUUGUGAGAAGAUUUCAAAAAUACCAGAUUUGAUACGAGCUGAGACCUGUUUGACUGACAUAACCAUGGCAUCAAUUCGUCCAAAUGACCAUGAGAAUCUGAUGAAAAAGCUGGCCAUUGUGCAGAAGAAAUCUCUAGAUGUGAAGUUUGACCUUACCAACACUGACUAUCAGGCUGUAGAGAAUAUAGGUAUAGGUGCAUAUGGUGUAGUGUGUUCCGCCAUUCACAGAAAGUCACACGAUCGUGUGGCUAUAAAGAAAAUCCCCAGGAUAUUUGACUACUGUAAAAUAGGAACAACAACAUAUCGAGAAAUCAAAAUUCUGAAACAUUUCAAACAUGACAACAUCAUUUCUAUCAGAGAUAUCAUCAAACCUAAGGAAUCAGUGGAUGAGUUUCGGGACAUUUAUGUUGUGUUUGAUUUGAUGGAAAGUGACCUUCACAAGAUUAUCUAUUCAAAACAAGACCUUUCGGAGGAACAUGUGAGGUACUUUCUCUACCAGUUACUGAGGGGACUCAAGUACAUCCACUCGGCAAAUGUUAUUCACCGAGAUCUGAAGCCAAGCAACCUACUUGUCAAUGAGGACUGCCAGCUCAAGAUAGGAGACUUUGGUAUGGCACGAGGUGUGUCUGCAUCACCAGAUGAACCAAACCACUUCAUGACGCAGUAUGUAGCGACACGCUGGUACCGCGCCCCGGAGAUCAUGCUGGCAUUGGUGGAGUAUGGGGCGGCCGUAGACGUGUGGUCUGUUGGAUGCAUCUUCGCAGAAAUGCUGGGACGCAAACAUCUCUUUCCAGGAAAAGAUUACAUCAGUCAGAUUAAAUUGAUCGUUGGAAUACUGGGUUCCCCAUCUGAUCGACUUUUUCAGUUAUGUCAAUCAGACCUCAUCAAGCAGUUUAUCACCAAACUCGGGAAGAAGGAGUCCAUCGCCUGGAACACCCUGUUUCCCAAGGCCAGUAAGAAGUCUCUGGACUUUUUAGGGAAGAUGUUGGUGCUACACCCUGGUGACAGGAUCUCUGUAGAUAAUGCUCUCAAUCACCCUUACCUCAACAAGUACCACGACCCUGACGAUGAACCAAUAUGUCUGCCAACAUUUAACUUCGAUUUUGAGAAUGAGGAGAUGACAACAACAAAACUCCGCAAUAUUAUAUACAAGGAGAUCAUGGAGUACCAUGGGCCAAAGAGCCCACUAAUGAAAUUCAGUGCCUGUCUGAAGCCAGUUCCACGGGAAUCAACGUGUACAGUGUCAGCUCCUUGCAAACAAGAGUGUUCCACGACACAAGACUUCAAGCCUGGAUUAGACGCAUUGCAGGUUGUUCCUCAGAUUCAGCCGAAAGAUGAAUUUAAGCGACCCUUGACAGUAAAAAAGAAUGAUGAAAGGGUGACCCUAGACAAGGAGAGUUUGAAGAUACCCACGAAUGAUGUAGAAAUGCCAAGUGCUAAGUCAGAAUGUGGUGAACCACAGUCAUCUAUGUCAGUAUUACACAUGAAAGAGGAGGUCCAGCAGGAAAUAAAGAAGGAGAAUAAGACCAUUUCCUCUGAUACAAAGGCCCUAGUGAAGGCAGCACUGCUCAACUCUAGUCUGAAGAAACAAAGACAUGAAUCCUCUGUAGAAGCAGAUGACAGACCGAAACCCAUCACUGCUGCACAAAGACAGAAGGAGAGGGAGGAGAAAAGGAAGAAAAAGAAGGAAAAGGCUCUUGAGAGGACAAAGAAGAAGAAAGAACAGAAAGCUGAAUCCGGGGCACUCCUCACCGAUGCAGACAGAGAACUUCUCAACAGAUGGUCCAAGAUGCAGAAAGUGAACCAUCCUAUUGCACCAAAGCCCGACAACAAGCCCAACUCAACAGCCCAGCCCGCAAACUGUAAUAUGAUAUCUAUUGGGGAGACAGGUCAGACACUGGGGCAGCAGUGCCUCCAACAGUACCUGGCCAAUCAGAAAAAGGCUGCAGACUCUGACCCCACUCGUCCACAAGUCAACCCCACCAGUACAGUACAUCCCGGAUCUGACCGAACUUUGUCACAGACAGGAAACAGUAUAUCUCAGCCUGGCAGUCAUUCUGGCCAGUAUCAGUCGGACAUUGCACAGCCAGCUAGCUUCCCUCAGGACAGUGCACAGAAGCAUAGCCAAACAGUGAACUCCAGCAUGUCAGGUCAAAGUGGUCUUCAAACUGAUAGCAGUCAGAACAGCAUCAGUACAAACGUGAGGCUUUCUCAAGGAGGUGUGUCAUCUUCAAUAACUGAACAAAACAAUAUGUCAUAUACUCAUCAACUCUCGCUAAUAGCAGGAAGUCAAGGAACCCAAGGUAUUAUGGGUAAUCUCGUUCAACAGCAAGGAAUGAUGGAAGGUGGAAUUCAUAAAUUAGAAGAAAGUGAUAUGAAUAAUGACCUUUCAACUAUCAGUUUUGACAAUUUAAAGAUGCUUGGAAUCAUUAAUUCCCAGACAACAAAUUUUCAGCAAGGUCAUUUUUUCAGUACAACUCAACAGUCGUUUGGUACCACUGGAGGGGAGGGUGUAACAGGUGAUAAUAGAAUCUCUGCCACAUCAUCAUCUCUUCCUCCAGAUGAAAAUCAAAGUAAGUCCUUCUCGCAAGCUCGAGCACCAGUUUCUCAUGGGUCUCCAGCUUCUCCUCACAAAGACUAUAGUAAUCACAGCUCACCUGAAAGUUACCAGUCGCAUGGCUCACCAGAAUAUUAUCAUGGAGAAUCUCAGGACCAAAGUAAUAACAGACUGGGGUCAUACUCCGAGUCCAGUCCUCCUGACCUUCAACAGAGGUCACCACAACAGGGGUUCCAGCAGGGGGCACAUGAUUCUGUGUUUCAGCAGAGGACAUCCCAGUCAACAUUUGACCAACAACAACAAUCACCUCAGUCAUUAUUCCAACCGCAGAAUUCCCCUCAGUCAACUUUUGGAGAGUUUGGUCGAAGGCCUAGUGAUGACCAGCUCAGCAACACAGAUAGCCAGUCUAGCAAUCCUGGUCUGUCAGAUGCCAUUUUGUCACUGAACACAGUGCAGGAUUUGAGUGGACACAUAAACCAGAUUCCAUUUGCUCCAGUAGCCAUGGACAAUGACAACGGUCAGGGACAUUACUUUGGUGGUGGCUCCCAAAUCCCGUUUAAACAAGGUGCUACUUCACACGAUCAUCCACACCAACACUCUUAUUUCACACAUGGCUCUUCAAUGCAACCUGGCCAGUCAUUGACCAAUCAUCUGUUAUUCAAUGCUAACUCUCCACCAGACCUGAUCACCUCUCUGUCUAGGCAGUUGUCUCGGUCUCAGGUUGAUGACCCCUGUCCCCCAGCCCUAGCCUUGACCCCACGUGGCACAGGAGCCGGAUAUGGUGUGGGAAUGGACCUGGAUGCCCUCAUGGUUGAUGCUCAGGAAAUUGGUGCUCGCCCUGAACCUUCCCCCUUGUCGUCCUCCCUGCUGACUGACUGGAUGGAAGUGACUGGUGACCUCAAUAUAGAUAUGGAUGCUCUGGAGCAGGAGUUGAGCCUUCAGUCUCCCAUGACCUUGUCAUACAAUGACCUCUCCAUGUACACCACCUGAUCCAGAGCACUGCCAAGGCCUCCUUGAUCAAGAUCAGAACAAAGCAACUCAAUGCAAUUCCUAUAAUAUAGAUAAUGAAUCAAAUGUGAACCUGUAAAGUUGUAUACCUGUGUAUGAUGCUACACAUGUCAGUAGCAUUAGUAAGCUUGUUGGUUAGAUUUUUUUUUUUUUUUAUGUUGUGAAUUUCUAACAUUUGAUAAACAUUUUAUCGUGAAGUAGUUGUGGUAAGGGACUAAGGGAGGUAAUGUGGUCGAUAAGGGAGGUAAUCUCGUUGAUAAGGGGGGUAAUAUCAUCUCCCAUUUCAGUUAUAAGGGAGGUAAUAUCAUCUCCCAUUUCAGUUAUUAAAAACAAAACUAACUGAUUAUUACACUGAAACAGAAAGGAAAUUGUACAGACCUGGAUAGGUUGCUAAUGUGUUCAUAUCAAAAUAGUUUUAAGUAAAAGUAAAUGUUGGAUGAAUAGAGAAUGAUUUAGAUACUUUAGUUAUGUUGUAAACUGAAAAAUUGUUAUUUAUGAUUUAUAUGCACUUUACAUGUUAGAAACACUAGUCUAAAUUGUAAUAAAACAAACAUUGAAUGAUA